Molecule: ribosomal RNA, 301 nt
Filed under: uncultured bacterium
Lineage: Bacteria
Description: partial 16S ribosomal RNA
Rfam family: Bacterial small subunit ribosomal RNA
Source: RNAcentral
CAGUAGCCGCGGGAAUACGUAGGUGGCAAGCGUUGUCCGGAAUUAUUGGGCGUAAAGGGCUCACAGGCGGUUUCUUAAGUCUGAUGUGAAAGCCCCCGGCUCAACCGGGGAGGGUCAUUGGAAACUGGGAAACUUGAGUGCAGAAGAGGAGAGUGGAAUUCCACGUGUAGCGGUGAAAUGCGUAGAGAUGUGGAGGAACACCAGUGGCGAAGGCGACUCUCUGGUCUGUAACUGACGCUGAGGAGCGAAAGCGUGGGGAGCGAACAGGAUUAGAUACCCCGGUAGUCCCUGUCUCUUAUAC